This 147-nucleotide small RNA is filed under the name Exiguobacterium oxidotolerans. RNAcentral describes it as "L20_leader". It matches the Rfam family "Ribosomal protein L20 leader". Rfam says of the family: This family is a putative r-protein leader autoregulatory structure found in B. subtilis and other low-GC Gram-positive bacteria. It is located in the 5' untranslated regions of mRNAs encoding initiation factor 3 followed by ribosomal proteins L35 and L20 (infC-rpmI-rplT). A Rho-independent transcription terminator structure that is probably involved in regulation is included at the 3' end. Lineage: Bacteria; Bacillati; Bacillota; Bacilli; Caryophanales. The record is from RNAcentral. RNAcentral also lists the same sequence under 1 other name.
ACAACAAAGCAGAAGCAUCCCGCUUCUCACCAUGUACAGACAAUCUGUGCUGGUCCAUCAUGAUGAUAUGUGAUAGUAGAGUGUUCUCUGACUAUUGUAUUCUUUAUGAGUGUGGGCGGGAAAAACUGCCGACGCUUUUUUUAUAGC